CCCUUAGACGUUCUGGGCCGCACGCGCGCUACACUGACCAGUGCAACAAGCAUCCGUCCUUGGCCGACAGGCCCGGGCAAUCGUUGAACGCUGGUCGUGAUGGGGAUAGACUUUUGCAAUUUUUGGUCUUCAACGAGGAAUUCCUAGUAAACGCAAGUCAUCAACUUGCAUUGAUUACGUCCCUGCCCUUUGUACACACCGCCCGUCGCACCUACCGAUUGAAUGGUCCGGUGAAGCCUCCGGAUUGGCGCGCACCUCGGUGCCGCCGAGAAGUUGGCUAAACCUUACCAUUUAGAGGAAGGUGAAGUCGUAACA
Molecule: ribosomal RNA, 315 nt
Filed under: uncultured eukaryote
Lineage: Eukaryota
Description: partial 18S ribosomal RNA
Rfam family: Eukaryotic small subunit ribosomal RNA
Source: RNAcentral